Scatophagus argus is the source of this 602-nucleotide non-coding RNA. The record is from the annotation of a RefSeq genome assembly. NCBI's taxonomy places the organism in Eukaryota, Metazoa, Chordata, Actinopteri, Scatophagidae.
UCCUCCUCAUCAAAAACAUGACUUUGAUCUGCGUCCUCAUCUGGACUCUCCUCUGCUGCUGCUUCACAGAGUCCAGAGGACAGGUCACAGUGACUCAGCCUGCAGCAGUGAGCUCUGCUAUUGGAGGCUCCAUCUCCAUCAGUUGUAGGACCAGUCAGAAUGUUUAUUAUAGCAGCUACCACUAUUUAGCCUGGUACCAACAGAGAGAUGGAGAAGCUCCUAAACUCCUCAUUUACUAUGCUAGCACUCGAGCAUCAGGGAUUCCAAGUCGUUUUACAGGCAGUGGAUCAAACUCUGACUUCACUCUGACCAUCAGUGGAGUUCAGGCUGAAGAUGCAGCAGUUUACUACUGUAAGGGUGAUUUUGACUGUAGCAAGAAUGACUGCUUCACACAGUGAAAAAUGGUCGUACAAAAACCUCCCUCAGUCAGACUGAACAGAAACUGAACUGACUGCUGCAGCUGGAAGCUCCUGCAGAGACUGAUACACUUCACUGAAGACACACACACACACACACACACACUGUACAUGCUUAAUUAUAAAAGAUGAUUUAAUAUUAUCGUUUACCAUGUACACUAAGGUCCAUAUCAGGCAUUUGCCUCU